Micropterus salmoides (largemouth bass) is the source of this 931-nucleotide long non-coding RNA. RefSeq lists it as uncharacterized. The transcript is spliced from 2 exons. NCBI's taxonomy places the organism in Eukaryota, Metazoa, Chordata, Actinopteri, Centrarchiformes, Centrarchidae. The record is from RefSeq and is a predicted model, not a curated record.
AUCAGAGGAGGAGCUCCCUGCAGGUGUUUCAUUUAUUCUUAUCAGUACUGUUACUGUCUCUAACUGCACUUUACGGUCUUUAGUCUGUGUUAUUUGUACCGACUGUCUCCUGUACCACGGUGCAGCGGAUUAAUCAUAAUCUAUCCUUCUCUCUCUGACUAAUCUUUAGAACCAGUGUUGGGAGAAACGUGUUACAAAAGAAAAAUGCAAUUACCAUAACGCACGUUACAGCAGCAGAAAUAUGAGUCCAUGAGUAAAGUUAUUUCCUGUUAAAGUCUUUUACACACAGGUCUGAAAUACAGCAACACAUGGGAAGUGCUCACGCCAUGCAUCUGUGGACUGAGCCGGACUCGAACCGGCGACCCUCCGGUUCCCAGGCAGACAGAACUUUCCCAAAACAUUCUACAGUUCGAUCUGCAGAUCAUUCGAUUCUCAUCAAGAAUCACACUGAGGAAAACUCACUUCAUGCUGACCGUUGGUUAAAUCUCCAACAGGGUCACUGAUCAGCUCUGCGUUUAAUAAAGUUUUGCUCACACAGACUCAGAGGAGGCGACAGAUUGAACUCACAUUUGCAAUGGAGUCAUCAAAAUCGCUCCAACGCAGACUCGUCCAUGAGUGAAGAACCAUCUGAGCUGAUCCAGGACCUUCCAGGACCUGGUUCCAGGCAGGGAGCCGCACAGCUGCAUGCAAUCACUCUGAUGGGAUCCUGAACUCAUCAAACAGCUGCUGCUUUUAAUGUGUUUAGAGCUGCACGGCCCCCUUUUUACUUCAUUUGGAUCAUCUCUGCUAAUCAAAGCAGUAAAUAGAGGAAACAAACUUUGAGCUCAUUAAUGACAAAAGAUCAUUUUUCCUUUGAAAGCAAAGAUUUUUAUUGUGUCAUUUCUCUUGUUUCCUAAAAUGAAAGGGGUUCAUUUCAAAUGAUAUUUAUCCA